Homo sapiens (human) is the source of this 1677-nucleotide long non-coding RNA. Lineage: Eukaryota; Metazoa; Chordata; Mammalia; Primates; Hominidae. The record is from Ensembl.
GGGGAGAGAAAGGAAGUGGAGAACGUUCUUGCAAGAUGAUCUGUAUUUUCUCUCUAAAGCAGAGUUCAUUUGCUGAGAAUGAUGGAGAAAAUCAGCAUCUAGCUAAUCAGCUGACCAUGAGAUGCAGAGAUUAUCUGGAAUUAUCCAGAUUGGUCCAUUUAAUUACAUGAGUCCUUAAAAGUGGAAAGUGGAAGAAGAGGCAGAAGAGUGUGUCAGAGAGAUGCUGUGUGAAAAGGACUCAACCUGCCACUUGAGGCUUUGAGGCUGGAGAAAGGGGCCAUGAACCAAGGAUUGUGAGCAGCCUGUAAAAUCUGGAAAAGACAAGGCAAUACCCUUUGCUGUCUCAGGGUCAAACAUGCAACUCCUGCCUGCUUGUAUGGCCAGCUGGGUUCAAGAAGGAAGGAACCUCAUUGUUGACAGUUACCAGAUGAAUGUGCCCCUUCUGUACAGCUAAGAAAUGGAAUAGACAUUGGCCACCUCUGAAAGCCUGCCAUGCUAGGGAAGCUCUGAAGUGACCCUUGAGUCAGUAUUCUGAUCCAGCUCCCUAACCCUGAGCCUAAGGACAAGAUGGGGUAGACUGAGUAUGCUGAUUGUUGCUGUGACUAUGGUUUUCAGACAAUAAAAAAUGUGAAUUAUGAGGUAUAUCAUAAUUAAUUCAUUAUCCACAUUGAUCACUUACUCGUUAACCUUUAUGUGAUAAAUUUACUUAUAAUCAAUGAAUGUUUAUGUUUGUUUGUACUCAAUCUUUAUCUGUUAAAUUUAGUUGAAUAAGACAAGUUAUUAUUUAACUCCCUAGUUGUGACUUAUAUUCUCAUACCAAAAGAUUAAAUGUUGAGGAAACCGUAGGGAUCACUAGAUCUAAGUUUUUGAUCAACCUCCUCAUUUUGCAGAUGAAAAACUUUAGCUUGGUAUAGUAAAAGGACUUUCUUGGGUUAUUCAGGCAUUAGCAGCAAUGCUGGAUCUGGAACCCAGGUCUUUAACUUCUGAGUCUACCUUCUCCCAACAUACACUAAGGAGCCUUCUUUCUCAGGUCUCAGAUUCUACCACAAACUUAUGAUACUUGCAAUUAAUUAAAUUCUAAAGGUCAGAUGAAACAUUAAUAAGGCGGUGUUUUGAAGAGUAGAUUAGAUGUUUGCAUAAAACAUAAGGACAGUUAAAAGCCAUUAAAUAUUUAUUUAAUUGGACAAUCAUAUUCUUUAGUACCAAUGAAUUUUCUCUAAAAAAAUUCAAGAAAAAUUUUAGCUACAGCAGAUAGCACCUAGGUCCCUUGCCAAGUGACAAAUAAAGCAGAAAUGCUCUUAUCAGAUAAGAGGCACCUGCAACCCUGUUUUUUAAAAAUAAAAUUUAAAAAUUAUUCAAACAGUUCAAAUGUGAAAAGAAUUCAGGUAUUUUGCUUAAAAGAUCCAUGUUAUUGAAACUUUAGAGCAGAAAAUGGGAUUCUUAGCAAUCAAUGACAUUUAGAUAUUUAGCAUUCUCAGCACCCCCACAGUCUUUGAGAAUGGAACACCCCAUUCUUUUCAGUAUUGCUGGAUGACUACUUUAAUCAGAAUGCCAGUAAUAUUCCUGAAUGGAAAGAUCUGAUGGGCAGAAUUGAAGAAACAGAAAAGAUGGCUAGCAUCUUUUACAUAUGUAUAUGCUGUACUUCAUGUGUUUAGUUAUGGUUGCAAAGCAUUUCAA